Molecule: ribosomal RNA, 447 nt
Filed under: uncultured bacterium
Lineage: Bacteria
Description: partial 16S ribosomal RNA
Rfam family: Bacterial small subunit ribosomal RNA
Source: RNAcentral
AGCGAACGCUGGCGGCAGGCUUAACACAUGCAAGUCGAACGGUCCUUCGGGAUAGUGGCGGACGGGUGAGUAACACGUGGGAACGUACCCUUAGGUUCGGAACAACACAGGGAAACUUGUGCUAAUACCGGAUAAGCCCUUCGGGGGAAAGAUUUAUCGCCUUUGGAGCGGCCCGCGUCUGAUUAGCUUGUUGGUGGGGUAAUGGCUCACCAAGGCUACGAUCAGUAGCUGGUCUGAGAGGAUGGCCAGCCACACUGGGACUGAGAGACGGCCCAAACUCCUACGGGAGGCAGCAGUGGGGAAUCUUGCGCAAUGGGCGAAAGCCUGACGCAGCCAUGCCGCGUGGAUGAUGAAGGUCUUAGGAUUGUAAAAUCCUUUCACCGGGGACGAUAAUGACGGUACCCGGAGAAGAAGCCCCGGCUAACUUCGUGCCAGCCGCCGCCGUAA